AAGUCGUAACAAGGUUUCCGUAGGUGAACCUGCGGAAGGAUCAUCAAAAGUCCACGCUGAGGCUCCGGCCGAGGCAACCUUCAUGAGCACCGUUGAAAGUCAUGGCAGACUGGGGUUUCUGUAGCGGAGAGAUCUGAGACAGAGCCCCAGCCGGCCGUUGUUAUACCAACACUGUUAACACACUCUAAACAACUGUCUAGCGACAUUAAUAUAAUACAACUUAUAGCGAUGGAUCUCUAGGCUCUG
Molecule: unclassified non-coding RNA, 246 nt
Filed under: fungal sp.
Lineage: Eukaryota; Fungi
Description: partial internal transcribed spacer region
Rfam family: Eukaryotic small subunit ribosomal RNA (bases 1-46)
Source: RNAcentral